GGAAGACGGUGGCGAUCAAAAGGGCAGACAUGCUGAAGUAUGUCAUCAAAAGGUACAGGAGCUUCCUCCCUGAGAUUUUCAAGAAAGCCUCUGACCUCCCCGAGUUAGUCUUUGGGUUCUAUCUGAAGGAACUUGAUCCAGCAGAGCACUCCUAUGUCUUGAUCAGAAAAAUCGAUCCUGCCCUGGUUUGGGGCCUGACAGGCGACCAGGGCACACCAAAGACCCGGCUCCUGAUGAUUACUCUGGACUCGAUCUUCAUGCAGGCCAGCUGUGUCCCCGAGGAGGUGGUCUGGGAGGUGUUGAGGGUGUUGGAGGCACAUUUCGUCUAAAAAGCAUUUCGUCUUUGGGGAGUCCAUGAAGCUCAUCACCAAAGCUAGUGUGCAGCAGGAGUAUCUGGUGCACAAAUAGGUGUCCCACAGCAAUCCCACGCUCUAGGUAUUCUUGUGGGGGCUCUCAAAGGAAACAAGACAGAUGGAAGUCCCGGAGUUUGUGGCCAAAGUGAAUGACACCCACCCCAGUUCCUUUCCGUGGCAGUAAAUGAGGCAUUGAGAGAAGAGGAGGAGAUACCCCGUGCCCGAGAUGGCAGCUGCCGUUGGUGACGUGACAAGUGCCAGUGUUAGUGCCAGUUCCAGUUCCAGGGCCUAUGCCAUGGCUGAAGCAAGCAUCAGCACCAGCACCAAUGCAAGUGCCAGUUGCCAGUGCCAGGGCUAGAGCCAUGGCUGGAGCAAGUAUCAGUACCUGGGACAGUGCCAGUGUGGUUGCAAUCUCAGGCUAGUGUCAGGGACUCCUCCUGCCAGCAGUGAAGGCUGGGGCUGAGUCUUCACUUUGUUUUGCUGUGGGUAGUCAAAAGGGCCCCACAGCAGUGGGUGCUGGGGUCCUGACUUUUCAAGAGUCGAGGGGUAGAGUGGGGUUAGGGAGAACCUGCCGCCCAUGGUAUCUGUGUUCCAGUUCUAUUUGUCUUUCUCAGUGAUUUAGCUUUCAAUUUGCAUACUGCAAAGUUUUGUUUGCCUUAAUUAACUUUCUUUUAUAAUGAUGAUCAUUUUACAGGAAAUAAACUGGUUAAAACUACAUGAUGACAGAAUUAUAUCAGAGUUGAAACAAACGCCAUACCUAAGCAUUUUUUUCAAAAUCCUUUGUUCCAUAGACACUUGAUUGAGUACUUAAGUUGAACAUCUAGGUCUAUGAAUGACGUUGGUCAAAUGUUUUAUUGUUCUCUGUUUCGGUUUUAGCAGGAGAGAUUUGCUGUUUCAUAAAAGAAAUUGGGAGAGUAUAUCAUUUUAUGCCUGUAACUUAUUAUAGCAUUGGAAUAAGCUGUUCUUUGGAGGUUUGAGAGACUUUACCAGUACAAUCAUUCCCCCCCUCCCCCAAAUAUAAAAAGAUAAAAUAAAAAGCCGGUCAGUGUCUGUUGCACAAAAUUACAACCGCUCUCUGCUUGUAUUUGCCUAGUUCUCCAGAAUGUAGGGAAAAAUAAAAAUUCAAUGAAUUAGACA
This 1490-nucleotide long non-coding RNA is filed under the name Homo sapiens (human). RNAcentral describes it as "family with sequence similarity 226 member B". Lineage: Eukaryota; Metazoa; Chordata; Mammalia; Primates; Hominidae. The record is from RNAcentral.